CCAGACUCCUACGGGAGGCAGCAGUGGGGAAUAUUGGACAAUGGGGGGAACCCUGAUCCAGCGACGCCGCGUGAGUGAAGAAGUAUUUCGGUAUGUAAAGCUCUAUCAGCAGGGAAGAAAGAAAUGACGGUACCUGACUAAGAAGCCCCGGCUAACUACGUGCCAGCAGCCGCGGUAAUACGUAGGGGGCAAGCGUUAUCCGGAUUUACUGGGUGUAAAGGGAGCGUAGACGGCAGUGCAAGUCCGGAGUGAAAGCCCGGGGCUCAACCCUGGGACUGCUCUGGAAACUGUAAAGCUGGAGUGCGGGAGGGGCAGGCGGAAUUCCUGGUGUAGCGGUGAAAUGCGUAGAUAUCAGGAGGAACACCGGCGGCGAAGGCGGCCUGCUGGACCGUAACUGACGUUGAGGCUCGAAAGCGUGGGGAGCAAACAGGAUUAGAUACCCUGGUA
Molecule: ribosomal RNA, 447 nt
Filed under: uncultured bacterium
Lineage: Bacteria
Description: bacterial SSU rRNA
Rfam family: Bacterial small subunit ribosomal RNA
Source: RNAcentral